This 771-nucleotide long non-coding RNA is filed under the name Amphibalanus amphitrite. Its description in RNAcentral is "uncharacterized LOC122369704". Lineage: Eukaryota; Metazoa; Arthropoda; Thecostraca; Balanomorpha; Balanidae. The record is from RNAcentral.
UUGGGCCGCGAUCUUGAGGGACAUUAACACCAAUUAACACUGUGGGUUGUUAACUUACUCGGUUCAGUUUCGCGCCAAAUGCAGCGCCGCGUGGGCCUCAGUCGCCAUCUUUGUGCGAUCCAGGGAGGUCGUGUCUGUGCUGCGUGUGACGUCUUGUUGAAUACGGCUCAAGAUGAGCAGAAUGAAGGUAAAUCUCCAAGUCCCACAGUCAGAGCUCAAGACUGUGAGGCAGGACUUCAUUCCUUGAUGAAUGCGGCUCAACUGCUAACAGGAUAAGAAGACACGAACCAGAAGUUGGACGCUUUUUAGAAUUUCCUCUCGUACCGCUAUAGUGUCAUGGGUGGAGGGGAGCGAGGCUGCCAUCUCCGAAGACAACACGCCUCUGAGUGUGCGCCUCCUAGUUUGUGCGGCAAUGUUCCCCGUGUUCAAUGAGAAAAUUCAAUGCCCCAGCGGUCAGAACUCCCAGCUAGUAUUGACGCAAUAGCUCUCCAAAUGUCGACCGGAAAGUCGUUAAAAAAAUCGUUGCGACGAUCGGCUCGACAAGCUGAAGACCGCGCCAGUUAAUGCAUGUGAAACGGCACCUCUACUCUCCCAUCGCCAGGCCCAAAGACGUGUUAUUCAUAGGUGUCUUUCACAAUACUAGUGUUGCUGAUCGCGGAGGACCACUGUCCACUGCUCGUCCGCCGUGGUGUUACUUCUGAUGAGGCUCAGAGCGCAUGUGUAUUGUUUACUGUGAACAAUCUGUUGAAAUAUAUAAUGAGUAGAUCUGUA